Molecule: non-coding RNA, 69 nt
Organism: Podarcis lilfordi (Lilford's wall lizard)
Lineage: Eukaryota; Metazoa; Chordata; Lepidosauria; Squamata; Lacertidae
Source: the annotation of a GenBank genome assembly
GCCAGUUCAGCUUGUUACAGCAUGGUGUUGAUAACGCCAAGGUUGCAGGUUCAAUCCCUGUAUGGGACA